This 238-nucleotide ribosomal RNA is filed under the name uncultured bacterium. RNAcentral's name for it is "partial 16S ribosomal RNA". It matches the Rfam family "Bacterial small subunit ribosomal RNA", at positions 116 to 354 of the family's 1533-position model. The record is from RNAcentral.
CGUGAGGAACCUGCCUUUCAGAGGGGGACAACAGUUGGAAACGACUGCUAAUACCGCAUAACGCAUGGGUAUCGCAUGGUAUCUGUGCCAAAGAUUUAUCGCUGAGAGAUGGCCUCGCGUCUGAUUAGCUAGUUGGUGAGGUAACGGCCCACCAAGGCGACGAUCAGUAGCCGGACUGAGAGGUUGGCCGGCCACAUUGGGACUGAGAUACGGCCCAGACUCCUACGGAAGGCAGCAG